UGCUGGUCUUUGAUUUGACAGUCUGAUGAGUAAAAGAGAUUCCGAUUAAAAGUUGUCUUCCAAUCUUUAUGAUGUCAAUUGUUGCAAAGAACUUCUGUCUCAUUUCCUUAACCAUAUUAUAAUGAAGGAUCUGUUUCUCGACUCUGAUAAUAUCUCCAAGCGCUGACCGUCAAGGCCUUUUCCCUUGGUAGGAUUGAUACAUUUGUCUUGGCGGAGUUUUUGCUUGGAUUUCCUACAUAUUGUAGUUAAUAUAACACGAAGUAAAAUAAAUCGACUGAGCAGUCAACGUAUGGAUAUGCAUAUGCAUGCACCAUCUAUGACUCUCGGCCCGGUGUGAUUAGGUACGGUUAUCCAUAUCUUCGAGUUAUUCUUUGUUUUAAUUGAAUUUGAGUGUAAGGCAGUGAGAGGAAGAAAAACACUCAGAUCCUAAUUCUCUUAUUAAUUCUCAAUUCCAAUUCCGAUUUUUCUUUAAUUCAUCUCUGAUUCUAUAUUGGAGUCUUUGCAGCUAUUGUGGCGGACGUAAAGCUUGC
RNAcentral lists this small RNA (530 nucleotides) under Histoplasma capsulatum. RNAcentral describes it as "hypothetical RNA". RNAcentral also lists the same sequence under 1 other name. The record is from RNAcentral. Lineage: Eukaryota; Fungi; Ascomycota; Eurotiomycetes; Onygenales; Ajellomycetaceae.